CACGUAGUUAGCCGUGGCUUAUUCGUCAGGUACCGUCUUCUGCUCUUCCCUGACAAAAGAAGUUUACAACCCGAAAGCCUUCUUCCUUCACGCGGCGUUGCUGGGUCAGGCUUGCGCCCAUUGCCCAAUAUUCCCCACUGCUGCCUCCCGUAGGAGUUUGGGCCGUGUCUCAGUCCCAAUGUGGCCGGUCACUCUCUCAAGCCGGCUACUGAUCGUCGCUUUGGUAGGCCAUUACCCUGCCAACUGGCUAAUCAGACGCGGGCCCAUCCUGUACCUAUAAAUAUUUGAUGGAAAUAUCAUGCGGUAUCUCCAUGUUAUGCGGUUUUAGCAGCCGUUUCCAACUGUUACUCCCCCUGUACAGGGCAGGUUACCCACGCGUUACUCACCCGUCCGCCACUAAGUCUUAACUCCUUCCAUCCGAAAACUUCCGCACUAAGACCCCGUUCGACUUGCAUGUUGUUAGGCACGCGCCAGCGUUCAUCCUGAGCCAGGAUCAAACUCU
This 502-nucleotide ribosomal RNA is filed under the name uncultured Lachnospiraceae bacterium. Its description in RNAcentral is "partial 16S ribosomal RNA". Lineage: Bacteria; Bacillati; Bacillota; Clostridia; Lachnospirales; Lachnospiraceae. The record is from RNAcentral.